Molecule: transfer RNA, 73 nt
Filed under: Blastopirellula marina
Lineage: Bacteria; Pseudomonadati; Planctomycetota; Planctomycetia; Pirellulales; Pirellulaceae
Also listed under: 6 other names
Description: tRNA-Ala
Rfam family: tRNA
About the family: Transfer RNA (tRNA) molecules are approximately 80 nucleotides in length.
Source: RNAcentral
GGGGGAUUAGCUCAGCUGGGAGAGCGCUUGCAUGGCAUGCAAGAGGUCGCAGGUUCGAUCCCUGUAUCCUCCA